UACCACAUCCAAGGAAGGCAGCAGGCGCGCAAAUUACCCAAUCCCGACACGGGGAGGUAGUGACAAUAAAUAACAAUACAGGGCUCUUUUGGGUCUUGUAAUUGGAAUGAGUACAAUUUAAAUACCUUAACGAGGAACAAUUGGAGGGCAAGUCUGGUGCCAGCAGCCGCGGUAAUUCCAGCUCCAAUAGCGUAUAUUAAAGUUGCUGCAGUUAAAAAGCUCGUAGCUGAACCUUGGCCUUGGUUGACCGGUCCGCCUAACGGUGUGCACUGGCUUGACCGAGGCUUUCCUUCUGGCUAGCCUGUAUGGUAUUCACUUAUUGUGCAGGGGAACCAGGACUUUUACUUUGAAAAAAUUAGAGUGUUCAAAGCAGGCUUAUGCUCGAAUACAUUAGCAUGGAAUAAUAGAAUAGGACGUGUGGUUCUAUUUUGUUGGUUUCUAGGACCGCCGUAAUGAUAAUAGGGACAGUGG
This 471-nucleotide ribosomal RNA is filed under the name uncultured fungus. Its description in RNAcentral is "SSU rRNA". It matches the Rfam family "Eukaryotic small subunit ribosomal RNA", at positions 408 to 884 of the family's 1831-position model. The record is from RNAcentral. Lineage: Eukaryota; Fungi.